This 253-nucleotide ribosomal RNA is filed under the name uncultured bacterium. RNAcentral's name for it is "partial 16S ribosomal RNA". It matches the Rfam family "Bacterial small subunit ribosomal RNA", at positions 524 to 776 of the family's 1533-position model. The record is from RNAcentral.
UACGAAGGGGGCUAGCGUUGUUCGGAAUCAUUGGGCGUAAAGCGCACGUAGGCGGACCGCUAAGUCGGAUGUGAAAGCCCUCGGCUUAACCGAGGAAGUGCAUUCGAAACUGACGGUCUUGAGUAUGGAAGAGGGUCGCGGAAUUCCCGGUGUAGAGGUGAAAUUCGUAGAUAUCGGGAGGAACACCGGUGGCGAAGGCGGCGACCUGGGUAGAUACUGACGCUGAGGUGCGAAAGCGUGGGGAGCAAACAGG